UCCUUAUUCUCUUUUUGUUGAACAUAAAGUGUGGCUUAUUUAAAAGACAUGGCAUCGCAUCAUAAAAAGGGACUCAUAUCCUUUCCACAUUCCCCGUGGUGGAGAGUUCUUUCUUAAUCAUACAUUAAUUAUUAUAAUGUCUCUUAGUCCAGUUUCUUUUUGUUGAAGUUGACACAAACAUAAUAAAUAAAGGGAUUAUUAUUAUUUUGUAUUAACAGGACUCCAGUGCAAGACUGACAGGAUUCAAGCAAUGUAAGCAAGAUUUCUCUGGGUCUUUUAUCUCCGUUGGUCUCAUUACUCCCACUCCAGAAUUACCCCCAGUAAUUCUACGUAGAAUUUCCCCUCAUCAGCUAUGAAAUAGUCAUAUCUUAUCACAAAAUGAUCACCAUCUAAAAUGAAAAGAAGAAAAGAGAGUCAUUUAAAUUUUUCCUUCAAAAAUUCAAUUUUGUAUCAAUUCAAUGACUAAUCUAUUAAGUAAUCUUUAUUACUAGACAUUCCCUCAAUACUAAGAAUAUAAAACAAAACAGAAUAUCUGCUCUCUAGGAUACCUGUUAUAAUAGUCCUCUGCACCUCAAAAUCUUGAAUAAAUUAUCUCAAUGUUUUUCUGAA
Callithrix jacchus (white-tufted-ear marmoset) is the source of this 609-nucleotide non-coding RNA. Lineage: Eukaryota; Metazoa; Chordata; Mammalia; Primates; Cebidae. The record is from RefSeq and is a predicted model, not a curated record.